Molecule: long non-coding RNA, 695 nt
Organism: Myotis daubentonii (Daubenton's bat)
Lineage: Eukaryota; Metazoa; Chordata; Mammalia; Chiroptera; Vespertilionidae
Source: RefSeq, a predicted model, not a curated record
GGGCUGGAAGCGCGCGGAGGGGGACGGGAAGGAAGAAAGGCGACUGCGGACCUGGUGAGGAGGUCACCUCCGCUGCGUGUUGCUCCCUGGGGCGGACAGUGCCUAUCCUGACUGUCAGCUCGCCCCUGACUGCCUUGUCUCGCGUGCGCUUUCAGUACCGUCACAGAUGGCCCCGUUUUAAUUUUCUCAAGAGCAAUGAAGUUUGAAAAUUAAGUCACCAAGAAGUUGUGGGGGAGAUUACCUGCAAAAAAAGCUCUUGUGGAAUGAGCAUUGCAGGAAAAAAAGAAAAAGAUAGGAAGCCUACAAAGUUUAUUAUGCUUUAUCAGGAAAAUACAAGGUCAGUCUUUCCUAAGAGGCCUUGUAUUUCAAUUCCCCGGGCCAGAAACUGCUACUGGACAGACUGAACCAAAGCCAAAGGGAAGAUCCACUAUAAUCAAUCUACUUUCUGACCAAUGGCACAGGGUUCCUGACCUCCUCCAUUCUCCGGAUUCUAUGUCUGUUCAGCCCUGUGAGCAUGGGCACUUAGGAGAAAUGUGCACAUCACUUCAAUGAUUUCCCCACUCCUGGAUUAAUCUGGGUCCACUCAAAGUCUGCUUUCUGCCAACAGUGAACCCCAGGGGUCAGGAGGCCGAAGGUUCUCAGUGUCUACACGGGGUUCUUCUGGAGGCCCAGCGACGACCCUUUCCUUCCAGAUC